This 460-nucleotide ribosomal RNA is filed under the name uncultured bacterium. Its description in RNAcentral is "partial 16S ribosomal RNA". It matches the Rfam family "Bacterial small subunit ribosomal RNA", at positions 338 to 795 of the family's 1533-position model. The record is from RNAcentral.
CCUACGGGAGGCAGCAGUGAGGAAUAUUGGUCAAUGGCCGAGAGUCUGAACCAGCCAAGUCGCGUGAAGGAUGAAUGCCCUAUGGAUUGUAAACUUCUUUUAUCUGGGAAUAAAAUCUUCCACGUGUGGGUUUUUGUAUGUACCAUAUGAAUAAGGAUCGGCUAACUCCGUGCCAGCAGCCGCGGUAAUACGGAGGAUCCGAGCGUUAUCCGGAUUUAUUGGGUUUAAAGGGAGCGUAGGCGGAUUGUUAAGUCAGUUGUGAAAGUUUGCGGCUCAACCGUAAAAUAGCAGUUGAAACUGGUAGUGUUGAGUGCAGUAGAGGUAGGCGGAAUGCGUGGUGUAGCGGUGAAAUGCUUAGAUAUCACGAAGAACUCCGAUUGCGAAGGCAGCUCACUGGACUGCAACUGACGCUGAGGCUCGAAAGUGUGGGUAUCAAACAGGAUUAGAUACCCUUGUAGUC